AAUGCUUUCGAACGCAGGCUGAUCGGCGGACUCUUAAUCCGUAGGUCGAGUGUUCGAGUCACUCACGCCCCACCA
RNAcentral lists this transfer RNA (75 nucleotides) under Burkholderia gladioli. RNAcentral's name for it is "tRNA-Lys". It matches the Rfam family "tRNA", at positions 14 to 71 of the family's 71-position model. From Rfam's summary of the family: Transfer RNA (tRNA) molecules are approximately 80 nucleotides in length. Their secondary structure includes four short double-helical elements and three loops (D, anti-codon, and T loops). Further hydrogen bonds mediate the characteristic L-shaped molecular structure. tRNAs have two regions of fundamental functional importance: the anti-codon, which is responsible for specific mRNA codon recognition, and the 3' end, to which the tRNAs corresponding amino acid is attached (by aminoacyl-tRNA synthetases). tRNAs cope with the degeneracy of the genetic code in two manners: having more than one tRNA (with a specific anti-codon) for a particular amino acid; and 'wobble' base-pairing, i.e. permitting non-standard base-pairing at the 3rd anti-codon position. The record is from RNAcentral. Lineage: Bacteria; Pseudomonadati; Pseudomonadota; Betaproteobacteria; Burkholderiales; Burkholderiaceae. RNAcentral also lists the same sequence under 1 other name.